Long non-coding RNA from Cylas formicarius (sweet potato weevil), 3353 nucleotides. RefSeq lists it as uncharacterized. NCBI's taxonomy places the organism in Eukaryota, Metazoa, Arthropoda, Insecta, Coleoptera, Brentidae. The record is from RefSeq and is a predicted model, not a curated record. The transcript is spliced from 3 exons.
UGUAUUUGAAGUUUGUUCACGGUGUCAGUUAAAAUCGUUUUGUGGCUAUAUUUUAUUUAAUCUGCGUGAAAAGAGUGGUUUUCUUCAUUUGUGAACAGGCAUAAGCACCACUAAGUUUAUGAAAGCCCACUAGAAGAGCCGUUGGUUUUAAUAGGAAAAAUGUCACUGAGUUUUUUUACUUGUCAGUGAAUACUAUGGCGGAACGAAAAUAUGGAUCUUAGCAAAUAUAGGUAUAACCUAGAUAUCCACAAGAACGAUGAGUUGGUGCUAUUUCGUCAGCAGAAAGAGGCUCUCUUAUAACCAUUGUGUAUAGGAGUGAUUUUGUGCCAUCCAUGAUUAUCUUUCCCAACAAAAAAGCCAGUGGCCAGCUGAAAAAGGGGGCACUUCCAGGAUAGCGUGUGCUUUUCAGCCAUCCGGGUGUAUUCAAACAGGUUUAUUUAGAAAAUGGUUUACCACUUCCUAGAACAAUCCAAAUCUUUAGCAACCAAUCUAAUACUGCUGAUAUUAUUAAUUAUCAAAGCUAUAGACAAUCAUGUUACCAUUUUAUGCUUACCAAACCAUAGGGCGAAGUGAGAAUUUUCAUGAGAACCGAAAAACGUGCAGUUAAGUUAUGAUAUUUGACAGUUAUUUGGUAGGGCCUAUCUUAAAGUGCAAUCAGCAGGAAGAACUGAUAAAGGGUUUAGUGCCACUGGGCUCUACUCUUUAAGAAGAAAUAAUUUCACAGUCGAAAUAUUUGAGGCCGCAAUAAGAAAAGCAGAAUUAUCGAAUGCACGUCCUUAUGAUGAGCAAAAUCACUCGUCUAAUUUUGAUCCUGACAGGGGCUUGUCUUCGUUAAGAUACUUCUAAACUACAAAAUGAUAUUGUCAACUAACCAAAAUUACAACAAUGAAACUUUUUAAUGCAACAACUUAUUGAUUAAAAUGUCAGAAAGAUUGCUUGCUUGCUUGAUUGCAAGCUAGGAGUUAUGAUGUGGUAUGGUGGCAAAAGGAACUAUAGAGAAUUUGCCCAACUUUGUGAAGGGAUGUUAAAAACUUCGGUUUCUAUAAGUUUGACAUUGGAGUUAACACGGAAAAAACAUUGUUACGACGAAUGACAGAUUUCCGUUGGUGCCAAACAUGUUCAAUGGGAUUAAAUAUACAGUGGUAAGGUGUAUGCCCUAGAUUUUUUGCAUAAUUAUCACAGACGUAUUCCUUUUGUAGGUUCAAGCUUUGUAGAAUCUCAAUUAAUUGCUUUUUGGUAUAAUCUUAGUGCAAAAUAAUGUCGUUAUUAUACAUGUCGUUUUGGAUUGUUGCUUUUGUGUCACAUGAGGGAGGGGUUUUAGUAAACUGUCUACUGUGAUAACUUGCAUUGUCCAUUAUAAUGACGCUAUUAGGAGGAAUGUUGUUUUUAAACCAAUUUUCAAAUAAAUCAGCGGUGGUGUCUUCAUGGUCAUCCAGAGAAGAAUCUUUAAUAUUUUUCGCAGGCAGAGAAAUUCCAUUUGGAAUCCAACCAUCUUUAGAGCCAGCAUGCAAAAUAGUUAUUCUUUUACCUAUUUUUGAGGGCGCGUUUAUUUUACACUUAUGAGUUGAGUCAAGCCAACCCUUUUCCGGGGUAUCAUAAGUGUCGAACCAGGUUUCAUCCAAGUAAAUUGGCCUUUGUUGUUAUCUGUAAAUCCUAUUUUUUUCUAGAUAUUCCAGUCACCAUUUCCGAAUUCUAAAAUAUUCCAUUAAAACUUGCCUUUUGUCAAUUUUUUUAAAUCUAAAACCCAUGUGUUGUCACAUUUAACAUCGGUUUCAUCUUUUUCAAGCCCCCUAAUUAAGAUAUCUAAUGUAGGCAAGCUUUCUUGCUCGUAUAACUAGUAAAUUUUACACCGUAUUAUAUCUUAAUCACUUUCAUUUACACCCGAGAAAAUAUCAGCAUCGCUUCUUUUUUUCCUCUCUGAAAUGGGAUUAUUCACAAUUUUCCAUACAGUUGAUGUUGGAAUUUUCGUUAAUGUGGCCGUUUCUUCUAAAGAUGCUUGCUUGCUGGUACCACGUUCAAUGAGAGUCAAAUAAACAUUGUUUAUAACUUCCUUAGUCUUAAUAGAAUAGUGUUUUCUACAUUUGGGCGGGAGCAUCUCCUGAGAUACACUAGACUCGCUGUAUUACACACGAAAUAAGAAUAAUUACUAAUAAACUUAAACUAAGUAGUGUACCAAACCAAAGAAUAUUAAACACAGGUAGGUAUAAAAUUAUUUUCUAUUACGUACCACAAUUUUACCUGAAUUGAAUUCCGAAACUUUAGGUAAUAAUCUUGUUGCAUUGUAUGUUAAUCACCACCCUUGGAUAAUCCCAUUCAAAAGCAAUUGGUCACUUUCUUAUAUCUAUGAACAGACCAUACUUACCCGAAAUAUAAGUCACAAUUGAUCCAUGCUACAUUUGAUUAAAAAUAUUUCCAUUUUCAUAAUAAUUGUAACGGGUUUGCCUCCAAACACCUAAAAAAUCUUAGGACUCCGCAGUCACUAACCGCAAACAAAAUCACAAUGAUUGGGUUAAGCAAGCCACGUUGGUGUGGUGUCCUUGCUCUAUAAAUGAUUGAGUUAUUUGUAUUUAAACUCAUUUCAAAGAAGCCAUUGUUUGAUAUAAUGAACUAGGCAAAUCCUUUUAUUUGGAUUAAAUAAAUAAUUAUUUGAUACAAGCAAGAAUUAGUUUAUUGAAACAAAUUUUGUUCAAAGUUUCAAAUAAAUAUUUAAUAGUUUAUUCUAUAUUUUCGGUGUCUAUGCGCUGCAGCAACACGUAUCGUAGUGUUUUUGGAAAUGAGUGGAACGAACGCAACGAUGUCAUGAUAGGAGCUCACGCAUAGAAAUUCGCAAACUUCGACGCGUAUUAAAAAAAAAAUGUGUCACCUUAAAAGUAUGCAUGGACCACUGUGUCCAAAUCCUCAGAGAGAAUAUGCCUAUUGAUAGUAUUGAUGUAACGUUAUAUGUAAUUAUAUGAACGUAUUGUGAUCUGAUCGAAUUGUUUCGGCGGUAAAUUCGGCUUGCGGCAGCGGCGGCGACGGUCAAAAUGCCGGCACGUACGUCGAGCAAGCGGUUGCUCGAUCUGCGCCUCGAGCCCGUGCAUAUUGAUUAAGCAGUUGCAGAAAGAGAGACGGCGCAUAAGGGUCACGUAAAGAAGUCUGGCCUCGUCGCGGCGGUUCUCUUGGGCGCGAGUAUGUGCCAAUCAGAGUUGUAUAAGAUGCAGCAACCACAUUCCCCGACACAUAUACUAUGACGGUGUCGGCAGCAUACGGAAAGCUAUCUAGCACGGUCGAUGAAUUAAUUGCUCAAUCGCGCAAUUAUUUAAAAAAAAAAGGAAUUUCAAUUUUUGAGUUUAUUUAUUUAGUUUUUUUCAGAA